GAUGAACGCUGGCGGUAUGCUUAACACAUGCAAGUCGAACGGACUCUUCGGAGUUAGUGGCGGACGGGUGAGUAACGCGUGAGAAUCUGGCUUUGGGUUCGGGACAACCACUGGAAACGGUGGCUAAUACCGGAUGUGCCGAGAGGUAAAAGAGAAAUUGCCUGAAGAUGAGCUCGCGUCUGAUUAGCUAGUUGGUGAGGUAAAGGCUCACCAAGGCAGCGAUCAGUAGCUGGUCUGAGAGGAUGUCCAGCCACACUGGGACUGAGACACGGCCCAGACUCCUACGGGAGGCAGCAGUGGGGAAUUUUCCGCAAUGGGCGAAAGCCUGACGGAGCAAUACCGCGUGAGGGAAGAAGGCUCUUGGGUUGUAAACCUCUUUUCUUAGGGAAGAACAAAAUGACGGUACCUAAGGAAUCAGCAUCGGCUAACUCCGUG
Molecule: ribosomal RNA, 435 nt
Filed under: uncultured bacterium
Lineage: Bacteria
Description: partial 16S ribosomal RNA
Rfam family: Bacterial small subunit ribosomal RNA
Source: RNAcentral